ACGGCGCCGUUUUGUGCUGCUGAGGGAACCCUAAUUCCCUUUCUCCUUCGCGAGAGGGCACUUCGCACUUCGCAGCCUCCACAGCUCCACUUCCUCCUCCUCGUUCCUCCAGCCUCCACUUCCUCCUCGUUCCUCCAGCCUCCCAAAGAACAGAACACCACCCAGUCACCGCACUCACCGCACUCACCACCCAGUUGUCAACUCCAGACUCCAGGAGGCCCUCAACGCAGUCACCGCCAUCGCACUCACGCCCUCACCGCCGUCGCACUCACGCCCUCAGCCACUUCGCAUGUCACCUCCGUCGAGCUCUGCCUCUGAGAAAGCAGUAGAGAAGCGUUGAAGCGUUGAAGCAUUGUCCUUCAAGCUCUGAGAGAAAGCAACAGAUUUCCUCAUUUCCAGUGUAGAACAGAGUGAGGACUAAGAGAAAAUUAAAAUUGUGGUUGGAUCGACAAAUUAAAGAUAAGAAUGGCUACAUUAUAUUAUGUUCAGUUAUUCAAUUCAUUGAGUCUUCUUUUUUAAUUGUGUGCCAGUUGUUGUUGAGCAUCUCCAUUUAUUUAUUUGCACUUGUGACAUUUCUUUUAUAAGAAAUUGUACCACUAGUUUUGAAUUUUGUAAGAAUAAUUAAUGUAGUGGAAAUGAAGGUUUCAUUGUUGUUGAGCAUCUCCAUUUAUUUAUUUGCACUUGUGACAAUUCAAUGAGGCAAAUCUGCAGCAAAUUAUGGAGGAUUUUGAUGAUUGAUGACAAACUUGGAUCGUUUUGAUGCUGCUAUGUUAUGUUUGAUUGGUUGUUUGUUGACUUUUGAACUUUGAAUUUGUAUUUGAAUGAGAUUAUAACAUUUGGUUUAUGUAGUACUUUUAAUUUGAAUGAUAUUUUAAAGUUUAGAUUAGACUAUAAUUAUAUUUUCAUGUGCUUAUUUAUAUUUUAAUUAUUAUUUUAUUAUAAAACGGUUUUUACGGUUCAACCACGGUCAAACCGGUUGAACCUAUAAACCAGUGAAC
Molecule: long non-coding RNA, 998 nt
Organism: Arachis duranensis
Lineage: Eukaryota; Viridiplantae; Streptophyta; Magnoliopsida; Fabales; Fabaceae
Exons: 2
Source: RefSeq, a predicted model, not a curated record